ACACCGAAGGUGGACAAUCGCUUCACGCUCAAUUCAGCAUGUGACCUCUUUGGCUCUCAUUCGCUCACUCAGUCAAAUAGGGACUGAGAGGAGCAGUCUUCAAGUAUUUCCUUCUAUUCUCUUGUCUGCUUUCCGAUCCGAAGCUGAUUAUCACUCCGGGGCGACGCUCAGUUGGUGUGGCGGCUUCAUCGAAAAAGCAGGUGGGACACAUACGUGGAGGAACAAGCAGACACAGACCCUCCCUGGAACCAAAUCUGCCCCUCCAGAUCCUGUGCAAGUUGCCUGGAGAGCAGGGAGAACAAAAAGGAGGAAAGCUAUCUGUGCUUGGGGCAGUGCCUGCUGGGGUGAAGAAAGGUAGAAUCAUAGAAUCCUACCUUCUCCACCUGAUCCCCAGAGAGGUAAAAGCUGUAUUCCCAGGCCUCGCAGGGAAGGCCUCUGUGGAUGUGGAUUCCUUCAGCAGGUGUGCUGCUGCCACACUUGUUUCCAGCUCUUCCUGGCUUUAGAGACAGAAUGAAGAAGAAACCUUUCUACAUGACAGAGGAUGCCAGUGGUCAUAAUUAAACAUGUCUCCUCUUCCCAAAAGAACAUAACAUAAUGGAAGAUAAAGUCAAGCCUUGAGCAUGGCACUUAACAAACAUAAAAGCCCAUGCUUACCAAGGGCUUCUCACUAUUAGCUACUGUAUUUUAACGCAAAUAACACGUGCCUUCUAUGUUUGUUUGCCAACUGCGCCCCUCCCCCGAAGUAUUCUUUUAAAUGUGUUAUGCUAAUUUUUUACAGCAACAUGUAAAAAAAAUUGGCAUAGUAGUGCUUAUGAACAUACUUCACCGUGGGGGGAGGGUGCGAUUAGCGCACAAACAUAGAAGGCACGCGUUAUGUGCGUAAAAAUACGGUACUCUCUAGUCACCACAGAGCAGGUGGCGCUAGCAUCACAUUUCCCAAGUUAGGAACUGGGUCACAGAGAAUUUAAGCAAAUUUCCCAAGAUCACAAAUGUAGUAAAUAACACAGCCAGGAUUCAAGCCCGGAACUCCUAAGUCCUGACUCUGUACUGACUCCUGCUCUGCAGAAAUCGAAGAGCCAGGGAGGAACCGACCAAAGACAUGCACAGGCCUUCCCUCAGCUGUGCCUGUUCUUCUGUCUAGAAGAGAACUGCUAAUGUUAAGCCUGUGUUAUGAUUCACCUGCAAAACCCAGUCUAUGAACAAAUGACAGAAAUAAUGAAAAACAAAAACCAGCCAACUUGGAGAUAAAAAUAAAGCUCUUUUAAAGUUAAGGGCAACAGAAUUUGCAAGUUACUUCAACUCAAAGCAACAACAAAAUAAAAAUACUAAUUUCUAACUUCCUGAAAGUUAAACUCUGUAUCUGUACUAUCCAAUAUGGUGGCCACUAGCCACAUGUGGUUACUGAGCACUUGAAAUAUAGCCAAUGCAACUGAGCGAUGGAAUUUUAAAUUUCAUUUAAUUUUAAUUGAAAAACUGAAGCAGUGCAAAUAUUUUUUCCACUAAGUGCAACUUUAUUGUUCUGGUAGGGUGGCAUUUCUCUGCACGGCUAAAGAUACUACUAUUGUGUGCAGUGUGUGUCAGGUGCAAGCUCGGUUCAAGCAUUACACAUAAACACACCACUGAUCUAGUCAUGACUAACUGAUUCAGUUCAAAUGAUUUUUUUCUAUGCAUUGAUGUAACAUUAAAAUGCGUUUACUAUGCAGACAGCACAAGUUACAGUGAUAGCUGUACAAAUCAAAACUGGUAACUAAAGUGAAACAUAAUUAUUUUUCUAGAUAAAAAAUAAGUAUGGACAAAUCCUUAAAUUUAAAAUGAAACCAUACAACUUAUGCAGGAUCCAGUGGAGAUGCAGAAGCUGGUACUUAAACCAGAACAGAAAAAGAAAAAAAAAGGACUGCAAGAUGGUAUGUCACAAAUCUCACAGGGAAUGGCAACUGUAAUUUGCUGGGGCAGAGCAAAAGCAAAAAGUGAUUUGUUGUGUAAAAGACAUUUUCAGCAAAUGCAGAGUGAAUUUAAUAAGCAGUUUCCUCUGAGGAGUCAAAAAAAGAACGAAUAAAAUUAGUGGUCUAAAAUCAGAAUUAAAUUUCCAAUAAAAAUUUUUUUAAACAAAUUUUUAAUAGGAUCUGAACUUGUAACUUUGGUCAGCUACAAAAUGGCUUGGAUUCUUGCAUAAAAAUGGGUAUCAUUUUAGAUGGAGAGGUAGUGAAAGAAAUUCUGAGGAAAAGACUAAAAAAGAUAUUUUACAAAAGAGUGAAAGAUCUUCAAUUAAGCCACAUUUGCCCCCAGAGUACAAAGACUUUCUAGCAAUAGCAAAAAUUAAUUGAUUCAAAAUUUGAAUAUUGCAAAUAAUUUUCUUUAUCUUUAGAUGAGUCAUGUGACAUAAGAAACACUGCCCAAUCAAUACUUUAGGUAUAUUUUGUCUCAAAGGACUUCCAAAUGUAUGAAGUAUUGUCAGAUUGCAGCCUAAAAAAGCAAAAAAAAAAAAAAACUCGUGGUAGAGAUAUUUUAAAAUCUUUUUCACCAAAGAAGAAUUUCAUCUCCAUACAAAAAAUUAGUUUCUAUCACGACUUGAGAAUAAAAGCAAGUGCUUCAGCUAAGUUAGCUUAAAAAUGUAGAUUUACUGCGAUUUUUAAGAGACUGAUGUUUCCCUUACUGCGUCAUUCCACUGUGUGAUACAUUUUGAAAACAUUUGAGCUCAGUUUUCUGAAACAGACUCUAUGAAGUGUCAUGGAUACAGUUGCUAAAAUGGUUCAGUACAUACUUGUAAAUGCUACAAGCAUUCACCAGUUCAUGGAGCUGCUGAAAGAAACAGAAGACAAUGCAUUCAAUGCAAACUGUGUUCUCUGCCAGUGAUGAUUAGGUCAUGGAAGAGUCGUACAAAGAUAAACUGUACUGUUAACUCCAAUUCAGAUUUCCUUGAAAUAAAAGGGAUGCUUGCCAAAUUAUUAUUUUCAUUCAAUAAUUCACUACUUCAUUCAAUAAUCAAAGAUAAAAAAACAGCAGUGUGCCUCAGUGUUUUGUUAUCUAUAUCACACUGUACAUGAACAAGAUAUAUUUAAAGCUCCAAGCAAGGGAAAAGCUUAUUUGUGACUUAGACAAGUAUGAGAAUUUAUGUGCAAUUUCAUAAUAUAAACCAACAGUAAUGACUUUACACAUUUUUAUAACAUGAUUCAGUAUGCAGAAGACCUUAACUGUAAUAGACAGCAUUUUGCAAACUGGUUGCAAAAACCAAAGAAAAAUUUUCAGAAUGCUUUGUUGCUAUUGAAAAAUUCAGAGUUGCUUUUCAAUCUAUUUGAUACCGCUUUGAAUUUGAUAGUAAUAAUACUAAGUUGACACAAGUGUUGGUGAAUUUACUUAACUUUGACAGACAUAGUUUUGAAACUGAUACACUUUCGCUUCAAAGUCAAAUCAAUUCUUAUAAAAAUGGUGAACUGGUUUUGUCAAUGUGGAUACGAGUAUUAAAGGAAAAUGACUUUUUGGUAUUCAAUUUAGUUACUGAAACACUUUUACCUGAGAAUAACCUGGAUAUGGAAAGCUGCUUUUUCAACCAUAAAUUUUAUGAAAUCUAAAUAUAGAUCAAGUUAUUUCCAAUGAAAAUUUAGUGUCUAAAUUAAGAUGUGCUGUAAAUGAUAGAUUCAAAUUAGAUUCUGAAGACUCAGAAUGAAAAAAAAGUAAAAUCUCAUUAGUUAUUUAAAAAAAAUUUUAUUUGAUUUUAUUUUUGUUGUUGAGAAUGUACACAUAACAUACGCUAAUUCAACAUUUUCUACAGGUACAAU
Long non-coding RNA from Trichechus manatus latirostris (Florida manatee), 3776 nucleotides. RefSeq lists it as uncharacterized. Lineage: Eukaryota; Metazoa; Chordata; Mammalia; Sirenia; Trichechidae. The record is from RefSeq and is a predicted model, not a curated record. The transcript is spliced from 4 exons.